GCGCGAUUAGCUCAGUUGGCAGAGCAGGUCAUUUACACUGACAAGGUCGGGGGUUCGAGUCCCUCAUCGCGCACCA
This 76-nucleotide transfer RNA is filed under the name Patescibacteria group bacterium. RNAcentral's name for it is "tRNA-Val". It matches the Rfam family "tRNA". From Rfam's summary of the family: Transfer RNA (tRNA) molecules are approximately 80 nucleotides in length. Their secondary structure includes four short double-helical elements and three loops (D, anti-codon, and T loops). Further hydrogen bonds mediate the characteristic L-shaped molecular structure. tRNAs have two regions of fundamental functional importance: the anti-codon, which is responsible for specific mRNA codon recognition, and the 3' end, to which the tRNAs corresponding amino acid is attached (by aminoacyl-tRNA synthetases). tRNAs cope with the degeneracy of the genetic code in two manners: having more than one tRNA (with a specific anti-codon) for a particular amino acid; and 'wobble' base-pairing, i.e. permitting non-standard base-pairing at the 3rd anti-codon position. The record is from RNAcentral.